AUUGAACGCUGGCGGCAGGCCUAACACAUGCAAGUCGAGCGGAUGAAGGGAGCUUGCUCCUGGAUUCAGCGGCGGACGGGUGAGUAAUGCCUAGGAAUCUGCCUGGUAGUGGGGGAUAACGUCCGGAAACGGGCGCUAAUACCGCAUACGUCCUGAGGGAGAAAGUGGGGGAUCUUCGGACCUCACGCUAUCAGAUGAGCCUAGGUCGGAUUAGCUAGUUGGUGGGGUAAAGGCCUACCAAGGCGACGAUCCGUAACUGGUCUGAGAGGAUGAUCAGUCACACUGGAACUGAGACACGGUCCAGACUCCUACGGGAGGCAGCAGUGGGAAUAUUGGACAAUGGGCGAAAGCCUGAUCCAGCCAUGCCGCGUGUGUGAAGAAGGUCUUCGGAUUGUAAAGCACUUUAAGUUGGGAGGAAGAGCAGUAAGUUAAUACCUUGCUGUUUUGACGUUACCAACAGAAUAAGCACCGGCUAACUUCGUG
Molecule: ribosomal RNA, 483 nt
Filed under: uncultured bacterium
Lineage: Bacteria
Description: partial 16S ribosomal RNA
Rfam family: Bacterial small subunit ribosomal RNA
Source: RNAcentral